AUUGCCUACGUAUGGUUUGGGGAACUUAUAUAAGGGAAGGUUCUGGGGUUUUGUUUUUUCAACAUGAUCUCAGGCAAUGGAUUCAAAGGGAUUUCUGUAUAUCGUUGAAAGAGAUUUAGGGGUGAGGAAGUGAGAGCCUGCAUACUAGUAUUUACUGCGGGCUUGAUAGGCGACACGUGUGAAGAUGUGGGCGGGGUCUCAUCCGCAUUGGACACAUGGCGAGAGCGAGAAUCGGAAAGGUGAAGUGAUUUGUCCAAGGACUCUCGCCCUCUCAGCGGUGGAGCCGGAGCAAUUCAGGCCCAGGAACAUCUGACUGCAAGAGUACCUAACAUGAAGAAGUAUGAAUUCAAGUUAUCCUGUGAAUAUAAUGAUUAUUAUUAACAUAAAAUUUCCCUUUGCUGUUUUAACAUUUUAAAAACAAAACAGUCACCUGAUGUCCAUGAGUAGGUGGAAAAGAGAUUUAUAAAAUAAGAAAGAAAAGGGAUAUUGUGAACCUUUGAUACUCUUUAUCCUAAAGUGUUCUAAUUUCCCUGAGAAUAAGCCAGCAGUGGAAAUGAUCUUUUAGAUAUUCAAAUGUUUUUUUAAUUCCUUUCAAGAACAUUCACGUUUUACUAGUUGUUAUACAAGAAGUCAAAAUGAGUGGCUUUCCAAGAGUAAUUCAACAUUAUUAAUUCUCAAGUGAUGAAAUCUCUCAGCAUAAUUUAUGUUACGUAAAUCUAUUCGCUCAUUAACCUCAGUGAUUGAACAUCUUAUUUAUUCAAGGCAUUAGAGACACAAAAAUAAACAAACACAUUCUCUUCUCUAAUCUUUGCAGUAUUCUAGGGAAACAGGCAUAAAAACAUACAAUUAUGGUACAGAAUGGUGAGGAUUAUGUCCGAUGUAUAAACAGACGAGUGAGUAUAGCUGGCCUUUCUAACCUCCCAGAUGUCCAGAAAUCAGAACUAUAUGGAAUGAAAAUGAUGCCAGAAUAUGUAGGAAAGUUGUGAGGAAAAAAUGCAAGCUUGUUUUUAUUCCAUUUAGAUCAGGUUCCUUUCUUUUAAAAGGCACUUCAAUAAACAUUUCUCCAACAAGA
Long non-coding RNA from Felis catus (domestic cat), 1072 nucleotides. RefSeq lists it as uncharacterized. NCBI's taxonomy places the organism in Eukaryota, Metazoa, Chordata, Mammalia, Carnivora, Felidae. The transcript has 2 exons. The record is from RefSeq and is a predicted model, not a curated record.